Molecule: long non-coding RNA, 768 nt
Organism: Lemur catta (Ring-tailed lemur)
Lineage: Eukaryota; Metazoa; Chordata; Mammalia; Primates; Lemuridae
Exons: 3
Source: RefSeq, a predicted model, not a curated record
GGUCUCUCCUCUCCCUAUACACACCUUAGAGAGUCUUCACAAGGGUGUGAUCGUGGGAAGCCUGGACACACUCAUCAGAAGUUUGUCCUCCUAUCAGGACAUGUCAGAAAUCAGAGAGACCUUGGCAAUCACAGCUCCCACCUCUUCAUUUUACAAAUGAGCAGCUCAGGCUCAGAGCAGAGAAGUGGCUUCCCUAGGGUCACACAGCCAGCUUGUGGCAGAGUCAGGAUUCAAGCACCCUCUCCCGACUUCUUCAUUGCACCAGACGUCGAGAGAACACAGAGAACCUAAAAGAAGAAAGAAAAAAAAAAAUAGAUCUUUUGGGAUUAUCUUGGGCUUCUGGUUUUCAAGGACAAUUUUAUGAUAAGUAGCAAUGAUGCCUCAAAAGCUAUGGUAGCUAGCUUGAAUGAACUUAUGUAAUAAACAUUUAUCACAGAACAUGUGUCAUCAAACACCUGCCAGAUCUGAGCAUUGGCACCAAAGCUGCUUUCAUUGUCAAAGAAAAGAGGGGGAAAAGGAACUUGGCUGAACAAAGCUGGCAGACAUUUAUACUAGAAAAUUCAGAGAUGUCAGGAGCAGUGGAGCACCUGUGGUGGAAGAAGCUGCCUCCCCUGGCUCUAUCACAGGCCACAGACCCGUGCGAAUCACCCAGCCUGCUCUGAGCCGCACACGCGAGGCCACAGCAGUGCACAGGAAAGUGAGAGGAAGUGGAAACGUGCGAGCAGAGGGCUCAAAGUGACGGGCUUACCACCGGAAAAAAAAAUAAAA